This 253-nucleotide ribosomal RNA is filed under the name uncultured bacterium. RNAcentral describes it as "partial 16S ribosomal RNA". It matches the Rfam family "Bacterial small subunit ribosomal RNA", at positions 524 to 776 of the family's 1533-position model. The record is from RNAcentral.
UACGUAGGGUGCGAGCGUUGUCCGGAAUUACUGGGCGUAAAGAGCUCGUAGGUGGUUUGUCGCGUUGUUCGUGAAAACUCACAGCUUAACUGUGGGCGUGCGGGCGAUACGGGCAGACUGGAGUACUGCAGGGGAGACUGGAAUUCCUGGUGUAGCGGUGAAAUGCGCAGAUAUCAGGAGGAACACCGGUGGCGAAGGCGGAUCUCUGGGCCGAUACUGACGCUGAGGAGCGAAAGCGUGGGGAGCGAACAGG